UGCAGAAUCCCGUGAACCAUCGAGUUUUUGAACGCAAGUUGCGCCCGAAGCCAUUCGGUCGAGGGCACAUCUGCCUGGGCGUC
RNAcentral lists this ribosomal RNA (83 nucleotides) under Blumea balsamifera. RNAcentral describes it as "partial 5.8S ribosomal RNA". It matches the Rfam family "5.8S ribosomal RNA", at positions 73 to 153 of the family's 154-position model. Rfam says of the family: 5.8S ribosomal RNA (5.8S rRNA) is a component of the large subunit of the eukaryotic ribosome. Lineage: Eukaryota; Viridiplantae; Streptophyta; Magnoliopsida; Asterales; Asteraceae. The record is from RNAcentral.